GUCGCUGUGCCCGAGUGGUUAAGGGGAUAGACUUGAAUCCUCGUCAGGCAUCUAUUGGCUUCGGCCUCGCAAGUUCGAAUCUUGUCGGCGACG
Molecule: non-coding RNA, 93 nt
Organism: Immersiella caudata
Lineage: Eukaryota; Fungi; Ascomycota; Sordariomycetes; Sordariales; Lasiosphaeriaceae
Source: the annotation of a GenBank genome assembly